AAUACAGAGUGGGUAGAAAACUGGUGUCAUCACGAAAUCAAAUUGAGUUGUAUCUUUAAUACUGUAUUAAAAUAUAUACGUAGGCUUAGCCACCUAUAUAGAGUCCUUGGAAAUAUACUGAUAUCAAUCUGAUUAAAAUAAGCUGUUCUGAUACGUAGUACAGCCGUAUCGUAUCAGAACAGCUGGUUUCAAUCAGAUUGUGCCUAAAUGAAAUAUGCUAGAAAAAACAUGCUAGAUCUGUACUCAGCGAAAUCAUAUCCAUUUUCUUUUUUUUUCUUAGAAACGAAAAUAGAGUUAGGCUAAAACAACAUUUCAGGAUAAAAUACCACGGUGGCCGAAUUCUUUACAACUAUUCAGAUGAAGAGAAUCCCUUCCACUUUAGCGUCAAAAUAUAAUGAAAUAAUAUAAUUAUUGUUAUCAGCUGGAGUGUGAAAUAGAUGACACCUUUCUUUGAGAAUAUCACAUGAAGAUCUGGAAGGGAUGUGCUAGGAAACGAGUACUGAGUAACAUACUUAUGACUAAGAGCAUUUUUUUUUAAAUCAGAGAAGAAAGGCAAAUAUACCAACUUG
Saccostrea cuccullata (small rock oyster) is the source of this 569-nucleotide long non-coding RNA. RefSeq lists it as uncharacterized. The record is from RefSeq and is a predicted model, not a curated record. The transcript is spliced from 3 exons. NCBI's taxonomy places the organism in Eukaryota, Metazoa, Mollusca, Bivalvia, Ostreida, Ostreidae.